UACAGAGGGUGCGAGCGUUAAUCGGAAUUACUGGGCGUAAAGCGUGCGUAGACGGCUAUCUAAGUCGGGUGUGAAAGCCCCGGGCUCAACCUGGGAAUUGCAUUCGAGACUGCAUAGCUAGGGUACGGUAGAGGGAAGCGGAAUUUCCGGUGUAGCGGUGAAAUGCGUAGAUAUCGGAAGGAACAUCAGUGGCGAAAGCGGCUUCCUGGACCAGUACCGACGUUCAGGCACGAAAGCGUGGGGAGCAAACAGG
This 253-nucleotide ribosomal RNA is filed under the name uncultured bacterium. RNAcentral describes it as "partial 16S ribosomal RNA". It matches the Rfam family "Bacterial small subunit ribosomal RNA", at positions 524 to 776 of the family's 1533-position model. The record is from RNAcentral.